GUGAGGAAUAUUGCGCAAUGGAGGCAACUCUGACGCAGCCAUGCCGCGUGCAGGAAGAAGGCGCUACGCGUUGUAAACUGCUUUUAACCGGGAAGAAACCCCAGGACGUGUCCUGGGUUGACGGUACCGGAGGAAUAAGCACCGGCUAACUUCGUGCCAGCAGCCGCGGUAAUACGAAGGGUGCAAGCGUUAUCCGGAUUCAUUGGGUUUAAAGGGUGCGUAGGCGGAGCGUUAAGUCAGUGGUGAAAUCCUGCAGCUUAACUGUAGACUUGCCAUUGAUACUGGCGCUCUUGAGUGCGCUUGAAGUGGGCGGAAUGUGCCGUGUAGCGGUGAAAUGCUUAGAUAUGGCACAGAACACCAAUUGCGAAGGCAGCUCACUAAGGCGAUACUGACGCUGAGGCACGAAAGCGUGGGGAUCGAACAGGAUUAGAAACCAGUGUAGUCC
Molecule: ribosomal RNA, 445 nt
Filed under: uncultured bacterium
Lineage: Bacteria
Description: bacterial SSU rRNA
Rfam family: Bacterial small subunit ribosomal RNA
Source: RNAcentral